Molecule: long non-coding RNA, 2938 nt
Organism: Aethalodelphis obliquidens (Pacific white-sided dolphin)
Lineage: Eukaryota; Metazoa; Chordata; Mammalia; Artiodactyla; Delphinidae
Exons: 2
Source: RefSeq, a predicted model, not a curated record
UCGCAACCACUGCGCCACCAGGGAAGCCCUGGGCACUCCUAUUUUUAUGCAGAAGAAAUCUGGCUAAAACGAUCCUCAGGAAUAGAGACCUUCUCUCUUCCUGUGCACUGGGAAGAGGACAGAGAGAAGGGUGAUGGGGAGUGUGUUAUGGUGAUUUUGUGAAGAAGUGAAUGGGGUGUGGGUUUAUCUUGAUGCAAGUGAGAAAGGAAAGGAAGAAAAAAAAAGUGCUCAACGACCAAGCUGGCGUUUGCAGUGAGUGCUGUGUAAGAGAGCUGCCUUUUUUUCUGGGCCGCCAGGCAGCUCUGGCUUUCUGUCCAAAGCAGUGAGAAUCCCACAAAGCAGAGGGUGGGACAAGGGACAGGUCUGCCCUUGGAGGGUGUCCUUAGGCACCAGUGCAGAGCCUUCUCACAUCCCCCUUCUCAGUGUUAGAGGUGGUGAGGUGUCAUGAGAUGUGCACUGGAAGCCUAGCCCGGUUCCACCCAUUGUCACGGUUCAGUUGGGGUGAGCCUGUCCCCCUCUCAGAGCCUUGGUCUUCUUCCUUAUACAGGAGGCAAGCGAGGUUGGUGUGGGCAUUGAGGAAGAACUUUGUGAACCUUAAAAUGCUAGAUAAUAUUGUAUCUUAGAGUCCUCCCCAGGACUGAACAGGAUGGUAGGUGGAGGCCCCGUCCUUUGGGGUUCUGGGGUGGCUCAUAGACUGUGUGAAAAGUAGUGCAGGUUUCAGCUGGGGAAGAUGAAGAAGUUCUGGAGACACAUGGUGGUGCUGGCUGCACAACAGUGUGAAUGUACUUAAUGCCGCUGAACGGUACACUUAAAAAUGGCCAAAAUGCUAAAUUUUAUGUUAUGUAUCUUUUACCACGAACGAAAAUCACAAGCACUUUCCCCCCAAAAACAAAAGAGUACGGAUACUGGACCAAGCUGAUAGUCAAGUAAAUUUGACACUCUGGGUGUUAACAGGGUGACUAUUGCACUUUGUGGUGAAUGCUCACUACUUACGAUCAUUGUGAGGAAUUAACCCUGUUUACUGGGACUCCAUUGAUACAAUAUAUUCUUAUUUCUUCUGGAAGGCCCUAGGAGCUCCCUUGGGAGGGGGUAAAACAGACCUCAGUCAUUGGAUUGAAAUGAACUGUAAACCGUGCUUAGUAACAGAUGACCUGAGAUCACCUCGCUGGUUCUACCUGUGCCCUCAAGGUUAUGCUCCCUCCUCAACUCUAGUCUUUCCUCUUUCUUCCUUCCUUUUGGUUCACAGUUUACUCUUUAUCCCAGGAGGUCAGGGGGGACAUGGGUUUGCAUCGACAGAACACAAGUAUGUGAGUGUCAUGUGGCCUCAUGCACGUCAUUAAAAAUGUCCUGUACUAUCACGGACCCCAGUCCUCUGGCCCAGACUUUGCUCCUAGAAGUGAGAGCUGUUUGCACAUAUCCCAGAGCAUUUCAUUCUCCAGGCCGGUGGGCAUCUGCAUCAAAACCUCACAGCAUCACCUCCCAAUUUUCUCCUUUCUCUAGCUGCUUCUGAAGAUCAGAACCACAGGCACUGCCUGGUGGCCUCUCUGUUUCUGAGGAGUCCCCUACAGAAAAUAACCCAGAAAGGGGCUGAAAGAUGGAUGUCUUUUGGAUUGAGAAAUUGUUUCAUUGUAGCAUGAAAUCAAAUGUUUGAAGUUUUGUGUUCAUAUAUUAGGACCUGUCUCGUGCCUACCCCCCAUCAUCUCUGAUAACGAUGCAGAGCCCUGUUGAAUGCAGAGCUGCCUGUGGUGCCUGACGAUCUGAGUCGUGCACAGAGCCGGACAUGGCUCUCAGGGGUGAUGGCUGCGUGAGUUCCUGCCUUCAGGGCAGACAGCCCGUCUGCUAAGAGUGGGUUGGGGCAGGAACAAUCAGUGCCUUUCUUGUGGGCUUCUUGUUGUUGGAUUUUGCUCCACAGGUUGGAGGACAAGUCCCAGUCCUCCUAACUAGGCCUUUAGAGUCUGGGUGGUGUGGAUGCUCGCUGCAGGCUUGGAGGCUAGAAAGCAAGGACCUCCCUGCCUCAUGUGGUCAGGGGAGGCAGGAGUAAAGCCGGUGUGAAGGUGCAGGAGUUGGAAGGAAGUUGGAAAUCAGCUCCUUGAGGCCCUUCACUCUGAGAGUCACAAAGGAAAAAGAGAUGUCUCCUCACUGCAAGCAAAAUGGAACCUCCUUCCUGCACAUGAAGCCCUUCCUCACUGCAGGUUAUUCCAAAGGAGAGGAAGAAACAUGACCUCCACAUACCAUCCAAGGAAAUAAGCGUGUUUAAAGAAGAUGAGCGCACCUGCACAUGUGGGACGUGUCUGCUGCUUAAACAGUUCUUCGUGAGUGAAAGAAGGUGCACGAAAGAGAGAACGCCGGCACCUCCUCCUAGCACUCAGAUCCCCAUUCCUGCUGCUGCCGUGUGUGAAGCCGCAGCAUCCUCACCAGGGCCAUACAGGGAACAAAUGCAAACUACCCAUAGACCCUUUGCUGUAUUCAAAACACAUCAUAAAUAAGGCGAUGUUUGAAGAUGAGAAGGACUUAAAAGGAGCGGUGUGUUCUCCUGGCCUGUUGGUUUGAGUGCCUGAAAGUGGACCUUGGCUAGAGCCCCAGGUUCGGAAGACAUUCUUAGCAAACCUCUUUAAAGUGAGGAUGUGAACACAUGGGCAAGGGAAGCCUCCAUGGAGAGCAAGCAGCUCCUGCAGUGGAAGGUUGAUCACUUGCACAGAGGGAAGGAACCGUGGAUUCCAUCAUAUGACACUUGAACCAUCUUUUGUGUUUCCAGAAUCAUUAAAAAUAGAUGGGAACCUCCAUGUAUGAAGUAGAUGAAGUCUUCCAGAGAAGAUUGGUAAAGUAUUUGUUUUGACAAAUCACCUUGCAAGUGAUGUGAAAGCAGUUUGGAGAAAAUGUCCUCAUCUCAUUCUGCAUCAGAGUGUGCAUCUCGUAGCCUAAAUCUGUUGAUGACAUU